UUUAGUAAAAAAUUUUUUGAG
This 21-nucleotide non-coding RNA is filed under the name Caenorhabditis elegans. Lineage: Eukaryota; Metazoa; Nematoda; Chromadorea; Rhabditida; Rhabditidae. The record is from RNAcentral.